RNAcentral lists this ribosomal RNA (484 nucleotides) under uncultured bacterium. RNAcentral describes it as "partial 16S ribosomal RNA". It matches the Rfam family "Bacterial small subunit ribosomal RNA", at positions 30 to 507 of the family's 1533-position model. The record is from RNAcentral.
AUUGAACGCUGGCGGCAGGCCUAACACAUGCAAGUCGAGCGGAUGAAGGAAGCUUGCUCCUGGAUUCAGCGGCGGACGGGUGAGUAAUGCCUAGGAAUCUGCCUGGUAGUGGGGGAUAACGUCCGGAAACGGGCGCUAAUACCGCAUACGUCCUGAGGGAGAAAGUGGGGGAUCUUCGGACCUCACGCUAUCAGAUGAGCCUAGGUCGGAUUAGCUAGUUGGUGGGGUAAAGGCCUACCAAGGCGACGAUCCGUAACUGGUCUGAGAGGAUGAUCAGUCACACUGGAACUGAGACACGGUCCAGACUCCUACGGGAGGCAGCAGUGGGGAAUAUUGGACAAUGGGCGAAAGCCUGAUCCAGCCAUGCCGCGUGUGUGAAGAAGGUCCUCGAAUUGUAAAGCACUUUAAGUUGGGAGGAAGGGCAGUAAGUUAAUACCUUGCUGUUUUGACGUUACCAACAGAAUAAGCACCGGCUAACUUCGUG